Molecule: long non-coding RNA, 1474 nt
Organism: Fundulus heteroclitus (mummichog)
Lineage: Eukaryota; Metazoa; Chordata; Actinopteri; Cyprinodontiformes; Fundulidae
Exons: 2
Source: RefSeq, a predicted model, not a curated record
AGAUGACAUGUUUAAUGAAUUGCCGCUAUAUAAAUAAAAAUUGAAUUGAAUUUAAAAAAAAGUACUAAAGACUCAGCCCAGAUUGAUGCAUCCAGACAGAUACUAGAAGUCAGCUUCAAAAAUGAAGCAAGAAAAUUGCGGCUAUCCGCUAAUGAAUUACAUCUACAAGGAAAUCUUUGUAGAACCUUCUUCAUCAUAGACUCCAGGAGGAUCCCCUGGAGUCUAUUGAGCUAAAAUAAAAUGUGUUUUAAAUAUAACACGAUGCAAGGUUUGAGGAAGAAUAAUGGCAGAAAUGUACCGUACAACCUUCCCUUACUGUUUAAGUCACUCUGACCACCGGCAAACAAACGCACACAACGUCAAGCACAACACAGAGUCACAGACUUUACCCCUGUUUUUAGGCUUGUAGGCUAAUUGUUCAAAACUAUUCCUAUUUCUUUUAUUUUAAGUAUUUACAUACUUUUAUGAUGGAGAGUUUUUUUUAUAAAAUCCUUGCAUCCUUGCAAAAUCCUUUAAAAUCCUGUAAUUUAAUUCCAGAGAGGAAGACAGGUAGAACAAUGAUUCAUGGUUAGUCUGCAUGUAUUAACUUUUGCUGUAUGUGCUUUCUUAACCAUUUGGAGUGAUGAAGACAAAUUGCCAAACAUACCAGCCACGGUUCACUCAGAGCUCCUCUAGAUAACAGAAAUAGGACAGCAUAUUGAUUUAGAACAUCCCUUCCUUUACAUCUCUUGUACAGCUCCUGUACAGCUUAAGAAAAUCACAAUUUUCUUAAAUGUAAUGGACGGAGCCCAUCAGGCCUUCGAACAAAAUCAAAAAAGAACAUUUGCUGAACAUUCAUUCCUGUUUUUGUCAGGGUUCUUUGUGUUGCCUUGCUCUAACUUUGUUCCUCAGGUGGUUCUAGUUGGCUGAGGGGGCGUGGCCCACACCUGCAACUUCCUCUGGCUUCUUAAGCAGAGCUCGGACAGAUGGAAGACGCCAGAACCUUAAACCAGUUGUGUUUGGUGCUGUAGCACUUACCUGCCUUCACGCUCCGUCCGAAGAGUUCACCUCCAGAAUCACAAGGCUCAGAUUUUGCUCUGGCGCUCCCCCUCCUGCUUCUUGGAAGUUACACAGUCAGGCUCGAGGUUCCUCUCCCGGAUUCUGAUGGUUCUCGCUUCUCUCUGGUCAAUCCAUCUGUCGCUCGCCUUCGCAGCAAUCUGCUCCGGAUCCUUCGCCAGUAAAACAUCUGCCGUCCUCCAGCCACUAGCCACCAACUAGAGUAGGCUCACAGAGUUACCUUGGCACAUCCCUCCCCCGGUUAGGUCUGCCCAGCUAAAGGUAAGCGGCGCACGUUCUGGCUUUUUCCUGGUUCUUGCCUUCGAGUAACAUUUCCCCCUCUCUCUGCAGUCUCCCCGCUUCGGCGUUCAGGCCUCGUCCCGUUACUCGUGUCAUUGACCUUGCUGUUUGCACACCCUAAAUAAACUUCUUAAACUGA